GAUGAACGCUGGCGGCGUGCCUAAUACAUGCAAGUCGAGCGAACAGACGAGGAGCUUGCUCCUCUGACGUUAGCGGCGGACGGGUGAGUAACACGUGGAUAACCUACCUAUAAGACUGGGAUAACUUCGGGAAACCGGAGCUAAUACCGGAUAACAUGUUGAACCGCAUGGUUCAACAGUGAAAGACGGUCUUGCUGUCACUUAUAGAUGGAUCCGCGCCGCAUUAGCUAGUUGGUAAGGUAACGGCUUACCAAGGCAACGAUGCGUAGCCGACCUGAGAGGGGGAUCGGCCACACUGGAACUGGGACACGGUCCAGACUCCUACGGGAGGCAGCAGUAGGGAAUCUUCCGCAAUGGGCGAAAGCCUGACGGAGCAACGCCGCGUGAGUGAAGAAGGUCUUCGGAUCGUAAAACUCUGUUAUUAGGGAAGAACAAAUGUGUAAGUAACUAUGCACGUCUUGACGGUACCUAAUCAGAAAGCCACGGCUAACUACGUG
Molecule: ribosomal RNA, 497 nt
Filed under: uncultured bacterium
Lineage: Bacteria
Description: partial 16S ribosomal RNA
Rfam family: Bacterial small subunit ribosomal RNA
Source: RNAcentral